Molecule: ribosomal RNA, 476 nt
Filed under: uncultured bacterium
Lineage: Bacteria
Description: SSU rRNA
Rfam family: Bacterial small subunit ribosomal RNA
Source: RNAcentral
AGGACGAACGCUGGCGGCGUGCUUAACACAUGCAAGUCGAGCGGAAAGGCCCUUCGGGGUACUCGAGCGGCGAACGGGUGAGUAACACGUGAGCAACCUGCCCCUGGCUCUGGGAUAGCCUUCGGAAACGGGGAUUAAUACCGGAUAUUCACUGCUUCCUGCAUGGGGGGUGGUGGAAAGUUUUUCGGCUGGGGUGGGGCUCGCGGCCUAUCAGCUUGGUUGGGGGGGUGACGGCCCACCAAGGCGACGACGGGUAGCCGGCCUGAGAGGGCGACCGGCCACACUGGGACUGAGACACGGCCCAGACUCCUACGGGAGGCAGCAGUGGGGAAUAUUGCGCAAUGGGCGGAAGCCUGACGCAGCGACGCCGCGUGCGGGAUGAAGGCCUUCGGGUUGUAAACCCCUUUCAGCAGGGACGAAGCGAAAGUGACGGUACCUGCAGAAGAAGCGCCGGCUAACUACGUGCCAGCAGCCGC